Non-coding RNA from Podarcis lilfordi (Lilford's wall lizard), 67 nucleotides. The record is from the annotation of a GenBank genome assembly. Lineage: Eukaryota; Metazoa; Chordata; Lepidosauria; Squamata; Lacertidae.
CCAUAGCUCAGAGGUAGAGCAUCUGCUUUGCAUGCAGAACUCUCAGGUUCAACAUCUGGCUUCUGGG